GUCGGUCGCGUCGCAGUGGCGUGACCGGGAAAGCAGCAAUGCACCGAAGGAGGACCUCGCGGCCUAUCAGCUUGUUGGCGGGGUAAAUGGCCCACCAAGGCGACGACGGGUAGCUGGUCUGAGAGGAUGAUCAGCCACAUUGGGACUGAGACACGGCCCAG
RNAcentral lists this ribosomal RNA (161 nucleotides) under uncultured bacterium. RNAcentral describes it as "partial 16S ribosomal RNA". It matches the Rfam family "Bacterial small subunit ribosomal RNA", at positions 173 to 334 of the family's 1533-position model. The record is from RNAcentral.